GAUGAAGAACGUAGCAAAAUGCGACACUUGGUGUGAAUUGCAGAAUCCCGUGAACCAUCGAGUUUUUGAACGCAAGUUGCGCCCGAAGCCUUUUGGCCGAGGGCACGUCUGCCUGGGCGUCACGCAUCACGUCGCCCCCCACAAUUCUCCGUAAAGGGAACGUGUGUUUUGGGGGCGGAUAUUGGUCUCCCGUGCUCAUGGCGUGGUUGGCCGAAAUAGGAGUCCUUUCGAUGGACGCACGAACUAGUGGUGGUCGUAAAAACCCUCGUCUUUUGUUUCGUGCUGUUGCUCGCAAGGUAAACUCUUUAAAAACCCCAACGUGUCGUCUCUUGACGACGCUUCGACCGCGACCCCAGGUCAGGCGGGACUACCCGCUGAGUUUAAGCAUAUCAAUAAGCGGAGGA
RNAcentral lists this unclassified non-coding RNA (404 nucleotides) under soil metagenome. RNAcentral's name for it is "partial contains 5.8S ribosomal RNA, internal transcribed spacer 2, and large subunit ribosomal RNA". The stretch from base 1 to 122 matches the Rfam family "5.8S ribosomal RNA", at positions 35 to 154 of the family's 154-position model. The record is from RNAcentral.